Xiphophorus couchianus (Monterrey platyfish) is the source of this 1854-nucleotide long non-coding RNA. RefSeq lists it as uncharacterized. Lineage: Eukaryota; Metazoa; Chordata; Actinopteri; Cyprinodontiformes; Poeciliidae. The record is from RefSeq and is a predicted model, not a curated record. The transcript has 4 exons.
CACUCUAAAAAGUGUAUUUGGGCUGUAGUUCAUGUUAUGGACUUAUUUACAUUAACCUGACUUAAUUCUUUUACUUUAGUUAUGACAACUUGCUUUCAUGAGUUCAAUUAACUUAACAGUCACGCAUUUUAUCUCAAACGAACUUUUUAAUUUGAGUCGAAGUGAAACAAUUAAGUUUAAUGCAGCUUUACGUCUGACGUCAUUACGUAAGCUCCGCCCGGGACAGAUCCUGCAUCUCUGGUACCGACCGCCAUUUCUUCUGAGCAUUGACUGUCGACGAGAUUCAGAUAAAACAGCCUAGAACCAAGAAUCAUCAAACCACAUAAGGUUGAAGACAUUGGGAUUCGAAGGGAAUGUGUUCUGAAAGGGCUCAUCACCUUUCUUGGAGAGGAUGCAAAAGACCUUAUUAAGGAAUACUGUGGCAGCAGCGGAGAUGAUGCCCAGAUGGAACUCAAACAACUCACCAUGGCCAUGUUUGUGAUUCGGAAGGAGGGAGAGGGAUUGAAAGAACCCCCAGAAGACAUUGGCAUCGUCAUUGAGGGAGUGGAGGUGUUGCAUGACCUGACUUCAGUUGCCUCAGCAUGUGCCCUGCUUCUGGGUUUGAUAUAUUCCCUUAACUUGGCUUAUCCAAAGGUUCUGCGCUUCACAUUUGAAGUGUUCCAAAAAAUCUUCAUGCAGCUUGAGCAGCACAAGAUGUCUCCCAAAGUUCAAAAUUUGUUUGGAAGACUUCAGACCUCACAGUAAAGACACUGGCAUGUUGUGCAACAGGACAGAAGAUCUUCAGUCUUCUUUGUUUGGACAGAAGAGCGCCAUGUUUUGGAAGCUUAACACCCCAAGGAACUGCACUUUGUGAACUUCUUUUGGGACAUUGUUCAUAUUAAAGCCACAAGUAAUACAGAGUUUACUGGAUAACAAUUGACUGGUAUUUCUGGAGGAUGUUUACUGAUGAGGUUGUGAUGAACAUUAUCAUUUUGGGAGUAGGUCUUUUUUGUUUUUGACAUUUCAUAAAGUUACAUGGUUCAUCUCUUUGGUUUUGUGUGGGGAAAAAAAUACAAGUUAAGGGGGAAAAAUUAAAGUAGGAAAGUAGUAGGCUGCUGCAGUUUGUGGACAUUUUCACAGAAUUUUCUUUUUGCAUUUUUUAAAAAAAUUUGAAUCAACAGAUUUGUUCAGUGUUUUUUGAAGGAGGUUGAAUGGAUCUAGAUCAUAAUGUUUACUAUUCUGUUCUUUUCUGGUGUCAGUUAAAUUAACGGACUUGGUUUAAACUAGGCAGCUAUUACACCACAUCUUUGUUUGAAAACUUGCCUAAAUAUUUUUUGGGUAUUGCUCUUAUUUUCAGUGUAAAAAUAGUCACUAGUGUCAUCAUAUUUUAUGUCAAAAACAUGUUCUCAGCAAAUGUUAUGGUUUAAGAGUGUGGAUUUUCUUUUUUAGGAGGACUUGUGUUAAAUCUAAAAAAGCAAAAUUUUUUCCUGAGGAAUACUUGUGGAUUCUACAACCUCACACAGGGGUGUCCAAGUCUUGUCCAGGAGAGCUACCAUUGUGCAACUUUCAGAUGGACCCUAUUUCAAUACCACCUGAAGCUAAUUUCUGAAUUUACACAACAGCAGACAUUCAGCUCAGCAGAGGCGUUGUAAUGAGCAGUUCAUUUGAUUCAGAUGUAUUGGAGAUGGGAUGCAUCUGAAAGUUGCAAGAUGAUGGCUCUCCACAACUGGACUUGGGCACCUCUGAUCUAGCAGGUCGCUGAAAUGUAAUAUCCCUUAUGAAGUUUCAAAAGAUUUGUGUAGCAUGUUUAAUGCAUAAUAUUUUGUGAAAAACCUGUAAGUUUGUGAUGCUUUCACAAUAAAAUUUAAAAUGUUC